Molecule: ribosomal RNA, 462 nt
Filed under: uncultured bacterium
Lineage: Bacteria
Description: partial 16S ribosomal RNA
Rfam family: Bacterial small subunit ribosomal RNA
Source: RNAcentral
AGUGAACGCUGGCGGCGUGCCUAAUACAUGCAAGUCGAACGGAGAUUAAGUAGCUUGCUAUUUAAUCUUAGUGGCGCACGGGUGAGUAAUAUAUAGCUAACUUGCCCAUUACUAAGGGACAACAGUUGGAAACGACUGCUAAUACCUUAUACUCCGUAUCUAUAUAAGUAGAUACGGGAAAGUUUUUCGGUAAUGGAUAGGGCUAUAUCGUAUCAGCUAGUUGGUAAGGUAAUGGCUUACCAAGGCUAUGGCGCGUAACUGGUCUGAGAGGAUGAUCAGUCACACUGGAACUGAGACACGGUCCAGACUCCUACGGGAGGCAGCAGGAGGGAAUAUUGCUCAAUGGGGGAAACCCUGAAGCAGCAACGCCGCGUGGAGGAUGACACUUUUCGGAGCGUAAACUCCUUUUCUUGGGAAAGAAUUAUGACGGUACCCAAGGAAUAAGCACCGGCUAACUCCGUG